AUGCAAGGCCUCACAGCAUCUUCCAAGCUGUCACUGGCCGUCGUGUUCGCAGUGUUUCUGCUGGGCUCGGCGGGCGCCGCCCAUGGCCUGACGAGGGUCGUCUCCAGCAGCUCUGAUGAGCCCUGCAACGAGAUGACGCUCUAUUACCACGACAUCCUCUACAACGGCGUCAACAACACGCGAAACGCGACGUCGGCCGCGGCCACCAAGCCCACGGCGCUGAGCACAACCCACUAA
RNAcentral lists this ribosomal RNA (237 nucleotides) under Triticum aestivum (bread wheat). Its description in RNAcentral is "partial small subunit ribosomal RNA". The record is from RNAcentral. Lineage: Eukaryota; Viridiplantae; Streptophyta; Magnoliopsida; Poales; Poaceae.